UGGGAUUAAAGGCAUGCACUACGAUGUAU
This 29-nucleotide non-coding RNA is filed under the name Rattus norvegicus (Norway rat). The record is from RNAcentral. Lineage: Eukaryota; Metazoa; Chordata; Mammalia; Rodentia; Muridae.